Long non-coding RNA from Salvia splendens (bonfire salvia), 645 nucleotides. RefSeq lists it as uncharacterized. Lineage: Eukaryota; Viridiplantae; Streptophyta; Magnoliopsida; Lamiales; Lamiaceae. The transcript is spliced from 5 exons. The record is from RefSeq and is a predicted model, not a curated record.
UAGAAUCAAAAUCAAUUUAGCUCUAGCGCGAGAGCGCCACCACCAAUUCUUCUUCCCUCCAGCGCCAGAGCUACCACCGCCACUUCUUCCUCCCUACAGCGCCAGAGCCAUCACCACCUCUUCUUUCUCCCUUCAGCCCGGUAGCGCCUCCCGCUCGACCAUCACACAGAUCCGAUUCGGCCACCGCGCAGCUUCGAUUGAACUCGGCGUGAGCCGCCGGUGAUGGUGGCUGACUGAAAGAGGCGGCUAGUGCAAUCGGCGAAGCCAGCUGCCGUUCGCCUCUCUAUUUCCCCGUCUCACAGGGAGGUGAGCUUUAAGAAUACAAUACACUUGAAGAUAUCAUGGACCUGUAUCUGGCAUACUUGCAAGUAACACAGCAGCAGUAGCUCGUCUCUUGGUUCAGAGCACUCGUCUAUCAUCAAAACUACACAUUGCACGAAACGUUGGUGUCCUCGUAGAUCAAGUGGAAGUGAGGAUCCUAAUUUUGUUACUGGAAUCAAGGAUUAGUGAUAUCUUAUGAAGGUUUAGGUGUAUAAACUUGAUACGAUGUAUUUCUUUUGAACGUACGUUACACACUUUUGUUGCUUGUUAUAACUACUACCAACAUUUAUCCCUAUUAAUCAUAAUUUUUGGGUUUAAUGUUUA